CCCAGGCGACUGUUUAGCAAAAACACAGGUCUCUGCAAAACCGUAAGGUGACGUAUAGGGGCUGACGCCUGCCCGGUGCUGGAAGGUUAAGAGGAGUGCUUAGCUUCGGCGAAGGUACGAAUUGAAGCCCCAGUAAACGGCGGCCGUAACUAUAACGGUCCUAAGGUAGCGAAAUUCCUUGUCGGGUAAGUUCCGACCCGCACGAAAGGCGCAACGAUCUGGGCACUGUCUCAACGAGAGACUCGGUGAAAUUAUAGUACCUGUGAAGAUGCAGGUUACCCGCGACAGGACGGAAAGACCCCGUGGAGCUUUACUGCAACCUGAUAUGGAAUGUUUGUACCGCUUGUACAGGAUAGGUAGGAGCCGAAGAGACGUGUGCGCUAGCAUACGAGGAGGCAAUGGUGGGAUACUACCCUGGCUGUAUGACCAUUCUAACCCGCCACGCUUAGCGCGUGGGGAGACAGUGUCAGGUGGGCAGUUUGACUGGGGCGGUCGCC
RNAcentral lists this ribosomal RNA (497 nucleotides) under Listeria monocytogenes. RNAcentral's name for it is "partial 23S ribosomal RNA". It matches the Rfam family "Bacterial large subunit ribosomal RNA", at positions 1791 to 2287 of the family's 2925-position model. The record is from RNAcentral. Lineage: Bacteria; Bacillati; Bacillota; Bacilli; Caryophanales; Listeriaceae.